This 258-nucleotide long non-coding RNA is filed under the name Lathyrus oleraceus (garden pea). RNAcentral's name for it is "Pisum sativum (pea) long non-coding RNA (PSAT_LNC016140)". The record is from RNAcentral. Lineage: Eukaryota; Viridiplantae; Streptophyta; Magnoliopsida; Fabales; Fabaceae.
GAAUCUGGAGCAGUUGGCAAAACGUGAGAGCAGCGGUUUGGCAGAUCAUGUGACAUAACAUCUGAUGGUUUCUAGGAGUUUUAGCUUAGGAGCAGUUCCUUUAGUUUAGUAUAAAUAGAAGAUCCCACGAGGGGCUCAGGGUGUUCACUUUGUACUUAAGAUCACUUGUAAGAAAACUUCCCAUUCCCAGUGCGAGGAAGCAAGAGUUUUUUGAGUGUUAUGUACGUGAAUCACCACAUUUAUUUCAAUGCAACUUCC